UCUGAACCUGUGUUUUAUUUUAAGAUGGAAAAGUUGAAAGAGAAGAAGAAAAUAAGAAUAGCAAUUUUAAAAUUCACAUAUUAUGAAUGCCAUAAAGGGCUUUGAGAGUCAAGAGCAGUUUGCAUCAAGCAGCAGCACAAUGGCACGAAGGAGAGCCUGACCUGGGAGCUGCCCCCGGGGUCCGAAUCCCGGCGUGGCCUCUCACCAGCUGUGCGGCCUAGGCAAGUCAGCCUCUUUGAGUCCUGAUUCCUCACCUGUAAAAUGGAUGUCAUUAUGGUCUCUACCUCAUGUGUCCUCCUGGGGUUCAAACAAGGUGACACACUGAACAUUUAGAACAUUGCAGGCACACAGUGAGCGCUCAAUGCCUGUCGGCAUCCUAUUUCUUCCUGUUUCUGAAAACAUGCCUUUCUUUCCUAGUGGUUCUUCUCACACACUGCAGCUCUCUCUCUUUCUUAAAAAUCCCUGAUGGCGUGGGUGGGGGUGGGAACACGGUGCCUCUCCUGUCCUUCUGCCCUUGUUCCCCAUUCUGUUUGAAGACCCUGGAGGAGCUGUCUGGCGAGGCAGGGAUGGAAACAUCCCAGGCGGGCAGAGUCAGAACCUUUCAGUGGUGAGAGAGGAGAGAAGGGACUUUCCUCGUCUGCCACUGGAUCCCAGUGUCUAGAGCAGUGGGUGAGACCGUGUGGCUGCGGAACAGACGUUUGUUGAAAGGACGGAUGAGAGAACACCGGAACACGCCUUAGAAAGUGCCCAUCAAGUACUUCCUUUUUGCAUGAAGAGUCUGAAGUGGUCUGUGGUUUAUUUCUGCCUCCCUCCUGCCUGCUGCUUUUCCUCCCUGCUGCCCCAUUUCAGUAUCCACAGCUUUGUACGAGUCACUUAGUCUAAAUGUGGUAUCUCUUGGCAAAAUGUGUAUUUUGUACUUGCUCUUCCUUCUGAAGCGACACAUUGCCUGUAGCCCUGUGCCUGCCAACCAUCUUGCUGCUGUCCAUCGGAACUCCUUCCUGCCCAGAUCUGUCUGUCCUGUCCCCUCUUCCUCUGAUGUCCUUCCUGUCAUUGUUCCCCACCUGGCCCUCUCCCAUCCUGUGGUCACAAUGUGGACGAGUUCAUUGCGGUAAAGCCUUUCUGGGCCAGCCUCUCAUGGGGGCAUUUCUCUGUCCCCUGCUUGUGAAUCCUUCUGUUUUCCUUCAAGUACUUACCAUGCAUGCUACGUGUUGAGCACAUGGAGAGUAAGGGGCCAGCACAACAGCGACAAGAUGCUGCGGGAACGGAGCAUGCACGUGAGCUGACUCACUGCUCUCUCUGCCGUGACUUUCACAAGGUACUGUGACUGGGGAGCUUCCAGUGUCUGGUGUUCCGUGGGUGCUCAAUAAGUGCUUGGUGAACGAGUGGAUAAACUAGGGGAGGGUACGAGCAGCCCCAGGCUUGGAGUUGGGGUGGGUGGUUCUACAAGACAGAGGCCCAGAAUCUCACAGAGAAGGCUAAGCAAAGAGAGGCAGACUCCAGGGCAGGGGUGCUCACAACCUUAAGGAAACACAGUUUCCCUGAAAGGUCUGCCUGCAACAUGGGGACCAGCCCACAGCUUUAUCAGAGAUGGACUGGAAGGCUCAGGAGCAGGGACUGAGGCUAAAGCCAUGGACCAGGGCCUGGAGACGGCGAGCCGGACUCUGGCCCAAUGGUGCCCAGUGGGCAGUCCUUGAGACGCUCACUCUGAUGUACUUCUGAGGUUUCUGAGAGUGACUGACGAGUAGGUUCCAGCAGGGGUGUCGCACAGCCUGCCCCCUCGGGGUGCUUCAGGCCGGGUGUGGCCUGCACCUGCAGACACAGCAUAGCUUAGGAAGGCUUCAGCUGGAGCUUUAGCUCUGUUGCUUCAUAACUGUGUGACCUUGGGCAAGUUCUCGACCUCAGGACACCUGGCUUCACCGUCUAGGAAACGAAGAUCAAAAUACCCACCCUCUGUGGCUGUUUAGAAGAUGAAAUGAGAUAAAGUGAAGAGCUUGUCCACUGUUGCUCACACCUGGCAGCACACAGAACAGCCCACGGGGAGUUUUAACAACCCACACAACUGGGCGACGGCUAGAGAUUCCGACCCAGUAAUUCUGGGGUGUGUCCCAGGCAUCCGGGCUUUCCAGAGCUUACAGAUGGUCAAGAAGCUCAGGCGGAGCUGAGCGACCGAGGACUGGUCUAUGAAAGGCAACGAGAAAGGGCGGCUUUCCGUCCACCUCCUCCUCCACGGCCCCGCCUCACCUCCUCGCCCUGUUCACCCUGUUGGGAGGCGUGGGCGUCAGCAGAUUCAUUCCCGAGGCGCUCGGAGAAGCGGAGCAUCAGAGACGACCGAAGGCCGGCAGUGUUCACGCUGGACGCUGAUCCCAGCAAACGGCUGGAGGAACGCAGCAGGAUCGAGGACUCGGGGCUAAGGCUCAGCUUUGAACGUCUUGACAGCAAAUGUGGGGUGUGAGAGACGGCACUGCUGGGACUUGAUUUGCGUGAAAUAACUCUUACACGUGCUUUGCCAGUUUUUCUAUACUUGUAAAAUGACUUUCUGCUAGAGAGCUCUAGACACUCUCAAAUAAAGCACAACCGUUUUUAAAUAAAGGUUGUCGAGUGGGUUAAUUUACUUGAGCAGUGAAAAUUUACCAAGUGCCCCCUGGGCGCAGGCCGCUGGGCUCAGGACCAUGGAGACAGAAUUUCACCCGACAAACGUUUAUUGAGCGCUGCUCCGGGAGUGGGGCUGUAUCAGUGAGAAAACAAGGAGAGACAAAAAUCCCUACCCUUUCGGAGUUUACAUCUAACGGGGAGAGACGGGCAGGGAAAAGUAAACAUGGAGCUUUGGAACCUGGCGUGUGGUUACACCUACAGCACAGCUCAGUCCAGAGCAGCCACACUCCAAGAGCUCAGUGGACGCCUGGGCUAACGGCUGUGGUGCUGGAUGGUGCAGCUUCGGGCAACAGAGGUGCGCGCUGUGAGAGACAGAUUUCCACUUCUGGAAAACAAAAUGACUGCCCGUUUAAAGUAGAAGAGGUGGUUCAGCAGACCAUGCAGGGAAUCAACCACUAUGAAGGACAAGCAUCUUUUAGGAUUUUGGGAUCUGCGUAGCUGGGUCAGUGCUGGGAUGGGGGACAUGAAAGGACCCAGUGCUGUGGUGGGUGCUCCUGGCCCAAUCCUCUUUCUCAGAAGCGUCACUCACCAAUCUUCUCCCAAACUGGCUGUGAGUAUAACAAAGACCUUCUUCCUAGUAUUAACACUAGAUUGGCUUCCCAGGAUCUGAUCUUUACCGUGGGUUUUUCUCCUCAAGAAAUUAGAGAAGCUGCUGAGCCACCGGCAGGUGUUAGGCUGUAACCAGGUCCUGUAGCUCUCUGGAGCCCCAGGCUAAUGAACAGCAGGUCUUCAUGAUGUGUGCUGAGAACCGGGUUAACUCAUUUCCCGGGGUGGCCUGCGGACAGCGUCCUCGUGCUGACGGCAGGGUGCAGAGGCACCCAGGACAGGGGGCCCCCACCCCACCUGUCCAGGUGCCUGUGCUCCUGGGGAGGCUCCUGGCCACUUUGCACCAAAACAUCUUUGCUUCUCCCAAAGGGACUUCCUUCCCAAAGCUGAGGAUGGUUUGAAACAAGCCAACAAUGAGCGGGACAAGAUUUAUCCUUGGGCCAUUCACCC
This 3648-nucleotide long non-coding RNA is filed under the name Equus caballus (horse). RNAcentral describes it as "lncRNA (ENSECAG00000059772.1)". Lineage: Eukaryota; Metazoa; Chordata; Mammalia; Perissodactyla; Equidae. The record is from RNAcentral.